Triticum urartu is the source of this 177-nucleotide non-coding RNA. NCBI's taxonomy places the organism in Eukaryota, Viridiplantae, Streptophyta, Magnoliopsida, Poales, Poaceae. The record is from Rfam.
ACUACAUUGAAGAGCUCGGACCAGAAAGUGCUGCAUCACACUGUAAACAUUAGCUUCUUCUCUACCGCUGCAAGUGUCUUUCCCUGUAUCAUAACUGAUGUGGUUUGCUCUGGGAUGAAAAUGCCCAUUUGCACCUGCUUGAUUCGGCUGUGUGCUUUCGAAUUUAUUUUCUUGGGC